UCUCUCUGGACACGGCUCUGGAGGCGGACGAGGCUCCUCAGGGUGGAGAUGUGGCGCGGUUGGUGGAGACGUGCGAGUGUCCGCUGGGAUACGCUGGACUCUCCUGUCAGGAGUGUGCUCCGGGGUUUUACCGUCAGGCCGUGUCCGAGCUCAACAUGAAGGGCAGAAAGCGUCCUCUCAUUCGGCCCUGCGUCCCCUGCCGGUGCAACAACCACAGCCUGUCAUGUGACCUGGACACGGGCGAAUGUCUGGGCUGCCAGCACAACACCGCAGGAGAGCACUGCCACGUCUGCGCCGCAGGGUAUUAUGGGAAGGUUCAGGGCUCCGUCAGAGACUGCUC
Long non-coding RNA from Sinocyclocheilus rhinocerous, 340 nucleotides. RefSeq lists it as uncharacterized. NCBI's taxonomy places the organism in Eukaryota, Metazoa, Chordata, Actinopteri, Cypriniformes, Cyprinidae. The record is from RefSeq and is a predicted model, not a curated record. The transcript has 3 exons.